Molecule: ribosomal RNA, 254 nt
Filed under: uncultured bacterium
Lineage: Bacteria
Description: partial 16S ribosomal RNA
Rfam family: Bacterial small subunit ribosomal RNA
Source: RNAcentral
UACAGAGGGGGCAAGCGUUGUUCGGAAUUACUGGGCGUAAAGAGCUCGUAGGCGGUUCGGUAAGUCGGGUGUGAAACCUCCAGGCUCAACCUGGAGACGCCACCCGAUACUGCCGUGACUAGAGUCCAGUAGGGGAGCGUGGAAUUCCUGGUGUAGCGGUGAAAUGCGCAGAUAUCAGGAGGAACACCAGCGGCGAAGGCGGCGCUCUGGGCUGGAACUGACGCUGAGGAGCGAAAGCGUGGGGAGCGAACAGG